Molecule: long non-coding RNA, 4529 nt
Organism: Symphalangus syndactylus (siamang)
Lineage: Eukaryota; Metazoa; Chordata; Mammalia; Primates; Hylobatidae
Source: RefSeq, a predicted model, not a curated record
UCAGCCUCCCGAGUAGCUGGGAUAAUUGACACCCGCACCCGGCUAAUGUUUGUACUUUUAGUAGAGGUGCGGUUUCACCACGUUGGCCAGGCUGGUCUCGAACUCCUGACUCAAGUGAUCUGCCCGCCUUGGUCUCCCAAAGUGCUGGGAUUACAAGCGUGAGCCACCGCACCCGACCCGAUUUCACAUCUUUGUCUCCACACUACUGUUAAUUUUUUUUAAACGAAAUUUGAACCACUAUGCAGAGUUUUGCAACCUACAUUUUUUGUUGUUUAGCAAAAUAUCUUCAACUUUCCUUGUUCCUGCAUGUAGACCUACUGCAUUCUUUAAUAGCUGUUAGCAUUCCAGGGUAUAACUUCUUUUUUUUUUUCUUUGAGACAGGGUCUCCCUCUGUUGCCCAGGCUGGAGUGCCCAAGGUUGAUCGUGGCUCACUGAAGCACCCUGGGCUCUGGCCAUCUUCCCGCCUCAGCCAAUUGAGUAGCUGGGACUGAAGGUGCACACCGCCAUGCCCUGCUUUUUUUUUUUUUUUUGGUAGAAAUAGGUUUCUCUAUGUUGCCUGGGCUGGUCUCAAACUCCUGGGCUCAAGCGGUCCUCCUGCCUCGCUCGGCCUCUCAAAGUUCUGGGAUUACAGCCCAGCAUGUGAUCCAGCUUGACGAACGUUUCAUGUGCACGUGACAAGAAUGGAUAUUCUGCUGUUGUUGGCUGUAGUGUUCUAUGUCAGACGGGGUCUCAUUCUGUCACCCAGGCUGAGUGCAGUGACAUGAUCACAGUUCACUGCAGCAUUGACCUCCCAGGCUCAAGCGAUCCUCCCACCUCAGCCCCGUGAGUAGCUGGGCCUACAGGUCCACACCACCACAUCCAGCUAAUUUUCUAAUGUUUUUAUAGAGAUGGGGGUCUCACUGUGUUGCCCAGGCUGGUCCCGAAUUCCUGGGCUCAAGUGAUCCUCCUGCCUCAGCUUCCCAAAGUGCUAGGAUUAUAGGUGUGAGCCACCACAUCCAGCCUAAAAUUUUCAUGCUUCUACUCUUAUCUCAUUUGUGUUUUUAUAUUUCAAGUGAGUCACUUGUAGACAACUUAUAGUUGGGUUUCCUUUUAGAUCUAGUUUGACAACCUCUGCCUUUUAAUUGGAGUGUUGCAUCCCUUUACACUGAACAUAAUUAUCAGUAUGGUUAGGUUGAAGUCUACCAUCUUGCUACUUAUUUUCUACUUGUCACAUCUGGCUUUUUAUUCCUCUGUCACUGCUUUCCUGUCUUUCUGGUAAAUCUUUUUAAAUAUUUCAUUUUGUAGCCAUCCCUGUGGGGGUGUCAGUGAUGCUCGGGCUCCACUAACUGCACCAUUGUCCUACUCCAUCUCCUUUGAGCCUCCUGUCAACCUCUGCACACAUGGCCUCAGCCCCUAGCCCUGGAUGACCACCAUUAGACCCAGCAGAACCGUGGCAGUGGUUUGCUGGCCCAGCACCUAGAGCCGCAGAAUACGCUCCCUUGACCCUCAGGGAAAGAUGCAGCGCUAGUGAGACUUGCUCUCCUCCACCACCAAAGUAAGGUGAGUUUACCCCCUCCCUCAUCCCAGGAUCCUCCCUGAAUGGGCCAGGGGCUGCUGCUAACACAUCUCAGGACCGCCAGCCUCAGCCCCGCUCCCAGCACUUUGUUAAAGGUGAGAGCACUAGUGGAAAGAAAGGCUGCACAUUAGGGCAAGAGCAGCUUCUGAGGCCCUCUUGAAGCCCAGCCCUGCCGUCUUGGCAGUGAGGUAUGCCCCCAACCUCCACUUCGCUCUUAGUACUGGGGCCAAAGUAUCCUGGGUGUAAAAUGGGGACGAUCCGCUCCAUGCCACGGGGUCCUGAGGAUCAUACACAACAGUGCCCCUAAAGCGCCUGGCACAGCACCUGACCGGAGCACACGGGCAACACAUAGGCAACAAACAGGAGCUGGAAGAGUUACCUGUGGCUGCCAGAACCAACACCACAAACCAGGCAUGGUGCUAGGGGGUCAUGCACCCGACAUUUAUUUUCUCACCGUUCAGGAGGCCAGAAGUCUGAGAUCCAGGUGCCGGCAGGGCCACACCCCGUCUGAGGGCUCUGGGGGAGGAAGCCUCCUGGCCUCUUCCAGCUCCCCAUGGCUCCAGGCUCCUGGGCUUGUGGCUGCAUCGCUCCUGCCUCUGCCUCUGUCUUCACGUGGCCUGUCCCCAUGUGUCUUUUCCUCCCCUCCUUAGGACAUUCGUCAUUGGAUUUAGGGCCCACCCAGAAUCCAGGAGGGGCUCAUCUUCAGAUCCUUAACGACACCUACAAAGACCCUUUAUCUAAAUAAGGUCAGAUCCACAGGUCCCAGGGGUUAGGAUAUGGACAUAUGUUUUUGAAGGCACCAUUCAACCCACCAACAGGAGCCAUCACAUUCUCAUUUCUCCUUCCUUAACGUUUUCACGGGCCCAGCACACAGGCCAGGAUGGAGCAUUCUUUGAGGUGUUCCUGGGAGCCCAGCAACAGACCGGGUGUUCAGUGUGCCCCUGUUGGUCUCCAUGUGGGCCCUGCAAGAAGGAACCACCCCCGUUUUAUGGGGGGUUCAGGGCUUGUGGCCAGAUCUGCAGCUAGGCCUGGAUCAGGCUCCCGUCCAGCUCCAGGGCAGAUAGAUAGAUAACUGCAGAGCUCUCCGGAGUCCUGUGCACGCCUCGGCUCACACUGCAGCUCAGCAGCAGCAACGCGGGUGACAGAAACCAGCUCUGGGUCUGUGAGCCUCUGUCUCACCUGCUGGGGGAUGGCGCAGUAUUGCUCCAAGACACGCAAACAGCUGUGGGCAGCAGAGACAGUGAGGCAAUCCUGCCGCACUCUCCAACCAUGCCCUCCUCAGCCACGCGGAGAAAGCACACCUUCAUCUGUGCAAGGAAUCCUCAAGAAGCAGACAAAAUUCAUGCGCUGUUAAUUCAGAUGUUACAGUCACAUCCAAUGCUAAGCGCUGUUCUUUGAAAACAGCUGAAGUAGACACAUCUUCCAAGAACAAAUCAUAGAAAUGUUACCAGGCGACUGUCUUUGCAUCAGUGAUGGGGACUUGGGGUGAGCUUAUGGUUGGCGUUGUGAACAGUGCCAGCUCCCUAAAGCAAGCUUUCUUUUCUGUUGUUUGAAAUGCGGCAGGAGAACUGAAAUCCUAUUAAAAUAUACUGGUUUCCGGUUCAAGAGAAAGAAAUACUUUUUUGCACCAAUUUAAUUCAGAUUUCUAAAGCCGAGGCAGGGACGGCAUCACAGUCUGUUGAAUGAAUUCCAGCUCAGCUGGGGCCUUGCCAUGACAAAUCAUUCCUAAUAGAAUCUCUCCAAACCACAGGGGAAAAAUCGAAGGCAUCAAAGUGCCCUUUCCAUUUCAAUAAACUCCACUGGCCACGAUUCUGUUUGCAAAACACAGAAUAAACAUGGAACCCAGGCCUGCCCAGCACAUUUACUCCCUGGCUAGCACCUCUGUUCACCUGUUGUUUUCUCUUUUAUAUGAGUGACCGUUUCCUAAAACGCAAUCACUGUCGAGUAAGAUCUUGGAAAUUAUCCAUGGAGAAAAGACCUGAAGAGUCUGCAUUAAAAUAACGUGACCGGUGCCUGGAAUGAGGAAGGAGCACAUUCAGGAUGGUCCUGGGUCAUUUUCAAGACCUUCCCCCAGUCACUGUCGGAUGAAGUAAGGAGCUGGACAUCGGUGUUUAUUAAACCAGAUUUAUUCUCCACAAGCUGAAGAUACCUGAGGUUGCAUGAGGACUGGCAUUAAAUAAUUUAUAAAUGUAUUUCUGACAGACUUUUAUCAUAAGGAUUCAUGUGUUUACAAAAGCAAAAUCUAAGCUCUCCACAGCUAGAAAGUGGGAAGGUGCCCCGCUGCAAGCACAGCCUUGGGGGAGGAUGAGGCCACAUAGUUCUGCUCCGCCCACAUUCUCAGAACGCCCCAAGAAGUUAGUGGCUACGCAAAGCCAAGCCUUGGGGGAGAACGGUCCGUGGUGUGGACUCUCCAAAAUGCAGACCCAACGAGAGGCCGGGCCCGCCUUUGCAUCUGGAGGCACUGCAGAGCUGCUGAAAGCGGCCCAUCCCAGGAGCCUGGCAAACACCCCCAGAGACCCUCAGGAUGAGCCAGCUCUGGGGCUGUGUCCUGAGAAGCUGGGGCUCCGUGGCCCAGCUUGUGGAUGGGUGUCCAGGGGGCAGGCCCCAUGCCCUUAGCACGUGCUGACACGCUCCCUCCAGCUCCAACAACCACACCAGAACCUUCCAUAGAACAUUUAAGUAAUGAAAUCUCAACAUUACAGUAAAAAGGUGCAAAGGGUCUCUUUUGCAAAUAUUUAUGUACAGCUAAGAUCUUGUUGAGUUCAGUAAAGCAUCCUGCGCGUGCACAUACGCAGUGUGCACAGAUUCAGGGGAAAUUGAGCAGCACACUGGAAGACGAGAUUAUACAGGAUGCUAUUUUACUUUUGAUCCCAUGUAGUUUCCUGAGCAUGAUAUUUUAGAUGGAACUCUUUCUGGUCUGUGAUCUUUGGUAGAAAAAAGGUCUCUGGGAUUAUUAUAAAAAUUUUGCAUCUAU